Molecule: long non-coding RNA, 283 nt
Filed under: Panax ginseng (ginseng)
Lineage: Eukaryota; Viridiplantae; Streptophyta; Magnoliopsida; Apiales; Araliaceae
Description: long non-coding RNA (PGIN_LNC015135)
Source: RNAcentral
GGUGGAUGGUGUGAGUUAUAUAUAUUUUUAGGUAGUUGUUUCCAUUAGGAAUGUAUUAUGUGUUUUCUUUUUCUUGAUCUACUAAUGUUUGAUUUUUUAUGAUGUUUUGUACAGAAUUUGUUUUACCACCACGGCGUUUCUUCUUCUAACAGGGUGAACAACCGAAUAAGGGGUGCAUAUUGAAAGAAAAGUAAAUCUCUUAAUUUUAUGUAAUUAUAAUUAUAAACACAUGGUUAAAAGAUUUACUUAUAAUUUAUACACUUAUAAGGAAAUGCUUGCACCA